This 498-nucleotide ribosomal RNA is filed under the name Acinetobacter sp. TW85B. Its description in RNAcentral is "bacterial SSU rRNA". It matches the Rfam family "Bacterial small subunit ribosomal RNA", at positions 38 to 528 of the family's 1533-position model. The record is from RNAcentral. Lineage: Bacteria; Pseudomonadati; Pseudomonadota; Gammaproteobacteria; Moraxellales; Moraxellaceae.
GGGAGACUCGGGCUUACACAUGCAAGUCGAGCGGAGAGAGGUAGCUUGCUACCGAUCUUAGCGGCGGACGGGUGAGUAAUGCUUAGGAAUCUGCCUAUUAGUGGGGGACAACAUUUCGAAAGGAAUGCUAAUACCGCAUACGUCCUACGGGAGAAAGCAGGGGAUCUUCGGACCUUGCGCUAAUAGAUGAGCCUAAGUCGGAUUAGCUAGUUGGUGGGGUAAAGGCCUACCAAGGCGACGAUCUGUAGCGGGUCUGAGAGGAUGAUCCGCCACACUGGGACUGAGACACGGCCCAGACUCCUACGGGAGGCAGCAGUGGGGAAUAUUGGACAAUGGGCGCAAGCCUGAUCCAGCCAUGCCGCGUGUGUGAAGAAGGCCUUAUGGUUGUAAAGCACUUUAAGCGAGGAGGAGGCUACUUUAGUUAAUACCUAGAGAUAGUGGACGUUACUCGCAGAAUAAGCACCGGCUAACUCUGUGCCAGCAGCGGCGGUAAUAAAG